AACGAACGCUGGCGGCAUGCCUAACACAUGCGAGUCGAACGAGACCUUCGGGUCUAGUGGCGCACGGGUGCGUAACGCGUGGGAACCUGCCCCUAGGUUCGGAAUAACUCCCCGAAAGGGGUGCUAAUACCGGAUAAUGUCUUCGGACCAAAGAUUUAUCGCCUUUGGAUGGGCCCGCGUUGGAUUAGCUAGUUGGUAGGGUAAAAGCCUACCAAGGCGACAAUCCAUAGCUGGUCUGAGAGGAUGAUCAGCCACACUGGGACUGAGACACGGCCCAGACUCCUACGGGAGGCAGCAGUGGGGAAUAUUGGACAAUGGGCGAAAGCCUGAUCCAGCAAUGCCGCGUGAGUGAUGAAGGCCUUAGGGUUGUAAAGCUCUUUUACCCGGGAUGAUAAUGACAGUACCGGGAGAAUAAGCUCCGGCUAACUCCGUG
RNAcentral lists this ribosomal RNA (433 nucleotides) under uncultured bacterium. Its description in RNAcentral is "partial 16S ribosomal RNA". It matches the Rfam family "Bacterial small subunit ribosomal RNA", at positions 29 to 507 of the family's 1533-position model. The record is from RNAcentral.